CUCGUAGGCGGUUCAGUAAGUCGGGUGUGAAAGCUCCGAGCUCAACUCGGAGAGGCCACCCGAUACUGCUGUGACUUGAGUCCAGUAGAGGAGCGUGGAAUUCCUGGUGUAGCGGUGAAAUGCGCAGAUAUCAGGAGGAACACCAGCAGCGAAGGCGGCGCUCUGGGCUGGAACUGAGCUGAGGAGACGAAAGCGGUGGGUAGACAAACA
This 210-nucleotide ribosomal RNA is filed under the name uncultured bacterium. RNAcentral describes it as "partial 16S ribosomal RNA". The stretch from base 1 to 186 matches the Rfam family "Bacterial small subunit ribosomal RNA", at positions 568 to 753 of the family's 1533-position model. The record is from RNAcentral.